AUUCCAUGAUGAGGGCACUUUCAGAAUAAUUCUUUGUACAUUUCCCAUACCUCAUAUAAGGACUCAUCAUCCAUUUGUUAGAAGGUAGUAACCUCGUUCCUCAACUU
Molecule: small nucleolar RNA, 107 nt
Organism: Gossypium raimondii (Peruvian cotton)
Lineage: Eukaryota; Viridiplantae; Streptophyta; Magnoliopsida; Malvales; Malvaceae
Rfam family: Plant small nucleolar RNA R71
About the family: R71 is a member of the C/D box family of snoRNAs containing the C (UGAUGA) and D (CUGA) box motifs. Multiple nearly identical copies of this snoRNA have been identified in Arabidopsis, and it is thought to function as a 2'-O-ribose methylation guide for 18S ribosomal RNA.
Source: Rfam